AAAUGACGGUACCUGACUAAGAAGCCCCGGCUAAYUACGUGCCAGCAGCCGCGGUAAUACGUAGGGGGCAAGCGUUAUCCGGAUUUACUGGGUGUAAAGGGAGCGUAGACGGCAUGGCAAGUCAGAUGUGAAAGCCCGGGGCUCAACCCCGGGACUGCAUUUGAAACUGUCAGGCUAGAGUGCAGGAGAGGUAAGUGGAAUUCCUAGUGUAGCGGUGAAAUGCGUAGAUAUUAGGAGGAACACCAGUGGCGAAGGCGACUUACUGGACUGUAACUGACGUUGAGGCUCGAAAGCGUGGGGAGCAAACAGGAUUAGAUACCCUGGUAGUCCACGCUGUAAACGAUGAAUACUAGGUGUGGGGGUCUUAAUUGACCUCGGUGCCGCAGCUAACGCAAUAAGUAUUCCACCUGGGGAGUACGUUCGCAAGAAUGAAACUCA
Molecule: ribosomal RNA, 438 nt
Filed under: uncultured microorganism
Description: bacterial SSU rRNA
Rfam family: Bacterial small subunit ribosomal RNA
Source: RNAcentral